UCAUGGGGGAGAUCAUGGAGGUGUGGGAGUUACAACCAUAAGUAUUGGAGUAGUGGGAGUUAUGGAGAUAAUGGAUAAAAGUAGUGGGUGUUAUGGGAGUUAUGGACAUCCACCAUAAUCUAAUAUUUCAUAACACUCUCCCUUGGAUGUCCAAGGAUAAUGUGCCUCGUUAAAACCUUGACUAAAAUAAAACCCAAUGGGAAAAAAAAAUUCUAGAAAAGGAAAAAGAGUACACAUAUCUA
RNAcentral lists this long non-coding RNA (242 nucleotides) under Nicotiana benthamiana. Its description in RNAcentral is "long non-coding RNA (NBEN_LNC010572)". The record is from RNAcentral. Lineage: Eukaryota; Viridiplantae; Streptophyta; Magnoliopsida; Solanales; Solanaceae.